CAAACAUUAUUUACAAAAUUUAUCGAGGUUCCAAAUCCAAAAUAUAAAACAUACAAAAUACUAAAAACUACAACUCAUUAUCCGCAACUUCAUUCUCAGCCUCAUCCAUUCUAUUAUCGAUAUUUCGUUGAUAUAUUCAGCUAUAAUCAGUUUUCAUCUACACAAUCAAUCAAAUUCAAGUGAUUAGUUCAAGUCACAAAAGUUCACAUUUCAAAUACCUACACCUAAACAUUUUCAAGUAACUAAUUCACUUCA
RNAcentral lists this long non-coding RNA (255 nucleotides) under Capsicum annuum. RNAcentral describes it as "long non-coding RNA (CANN_LNC002718)". The record is from RNAcentral. Lineage: Eukaryota; Viridiplantae; Streptophyta; Magnoliopsida; Solanales; Solanaceae.